Long non-coding RNA from Astatotilapia calliptera (eastern happy), 782 nucleotides. Lineage: Eukaryota; Metazoa; Chordata; Actinopteri; Cichliformes; Cichlidae. The record is from Ensembl.
GGAGAGGCUGGGUGUGAAGGUGAGGAAGAGGAGAAGGGAGGCCACAUGGAGAAAGAAGAUAAGAGGGAGGACAAUAUAGAUAUGGACCAAGAGGAGAUGGAGGGAAGAGCAGCGGAAGGAGAAGCAGAGAUGGAGGAAGAAAUGACUGAGAGAGAAGAGGAAUUAAAGACACAGGGAGAGAACGAGAGAGAAGAAAGGAGGUUUAAGUGUGAGAGGAUGAAAUGAAACAUUCUACAGCAGAGGUAGAGAAAGAAAUACACGAUGAAAAUGAGGAAGGAGAAAUAGAAGAAGACAGAAAGAAAGAAAACCAUGAAGUCAAACAGUGUGAUGGAGAAAAAGAGGGAAAUAAAGGGAGGAAGAAGGAUGGAAGCAACAAAAGAGGGGUGGAGAUAAAUAAUGAUGAGUAAGAAGAGUGGUUUAAGUAUCAGAAGGAGGAAGAUGAGAAAGAAGUAGGAAAAGUAUGUGAGGAUGAAAGUCAGGGUGAGAUGAAACAAGCUGUAACAGCGGAAAGUGGAGAUGAAAGAGCAGGAAGAGGAAUGGAAGAAGAAGAUGUAGAUGAAAAGAGAAUAGAGCAAGACAGACAGAUAACAGGAGGAAAUGCAGAAGGAGUCAAAGUGGAGAAGCUGAGAGAGCAUCACGCUGAAAAUGAAAAGGAGGACCCACAAUCUGCUGAAACUCUGCAUCACGGCACAGAAAACAAAGCUCCCAGAGUCCUCACAGACGGAGAGAAAGGGGCUGUCGCUGCCAAAACCCACAGCAGGGACAUUUAUCCCACAUCGCCG